This is a long non-coding RNA of Quercus lobata, 1157 nucleotides long. RefSeq lists it as uncharacterized. NCBI's taxonomy places the organism in Eukaryota, Viridiplantae, Streptophyta, Magnoliopsida, Fagales, Fagaceae. The transcript has 2 exons. The record is from RefSeq and is a predicted model, not a curated record.
UCUCUCUUUAGUUCUUAAGCUAUCACUUGCCCAAAUACCUUUGACUAUGUUCAUAAAUUUAUAUAUUUUGUUUGUGUUCAUAUUUUUGAUUGAAAGGUGAAUCUUGGGUUUGUGUUUUCCUAUCAAAUUGAGAUAGAUCUCUACUUCCUUAGUAUUUUUGUAAUCUUCUGACAAUGGCUCUCCCUCCUCUCAUACAAAUGGAUAGUGAGUAGGCAAUUUUUACAUUUGAGUAUAAUACUAUUGGAUACUUACAAUAUUGCACAUUCUAAGUCUAAUAGAAAUUCUAACUCUCCCAUAUACCAAUUUUAUUGUUUAUUUAUUUUGUUAUUAAACUGUUCAUCUUUCUUACAAAUAAACAAUAUUGGAUGUGAUAUUGAUAGUUUGCUAUUUUAGUAAAGCACUGAUUCAUGGCUUUCAUAUGUAUGUUGCAUUCUAAUUAUUGGAUGAAAUCUUAAAUAAUUGUUGAUGCAUUUGCAUCACUUGGAUUGAAGGUUCAAAAAAGGUACAUUUUCAAGGUAUGACUUCUUUAGGUAUAUAUUUUAAAUUUUUGAGAAGAUAAUCAUAUUGACAGAUUAAUAAGGAUAUAUUAGUAAGUGCAUCUUUCCAUAGAGAAUGUAUAUUGAAAGUUUCAAGGAGGCUGAAAAUAAUGAUAUAUGAAUCAUUACAAUUCCAUUAGUCAAAUUGUGUUUACAAAUCAUUACAUUUCCAGGUGUUUAAGGAAAUUAUGAUCUAUGUUCAAUUGAGAUGAAGAUUACAAAUAAAUUGAGCAGCCCAUUUUAAAAAGAUGGCCAACACAUAUUUGCUUUUGAUAAUAAUCUCUCCCCCUUUGCAGGUUUAAUUUUUUUGUUUGUUGAGAAACCUCCCCCUUUGCAGUUGGUUGGCCAAUCAUUAAUUCUAUUAAUGAUUGGAUUUAGAAUGUCAGUGCAUUUGCAUCAAGUAGAAUUCAUGUAUGUAAUUUCAGCCAAUCUGAUGUAGAUAUGGGAAUAAGGAAAAAGUAUACCACUAAUGCUUGGGAAGCCUAAGUAUACCACUGAUAAUAUAGCAGUCCUAUAGGUAAGUGCUCUGCUUAUAAUCCUUUUGGAGAUUACUUUAUGGGGAUAUUUAGAUUUUCUUAAGAAUUUUGAUUCAUGGGAACUGUUUUUGUUAAGGUGGUGAUG